RNAcentral lists this ribosomal RNA (475 nucleotides) under uncultured bacterium. Its description in RNAcentral is "bacterial SSU rRNA". It matches the Rfam family "Bacterial small subunit ribosomal RNA", at positions 349 to 816 of the family's 1533-position model. The record is from RNAcentral.
CAGCAGUGGGGAAUCUUGGACAAUGCACCCAAGCCUAAUCCAGCAAUGCCGCGAGCAGCAAGAAGCCCUCCGGGUUGUAAACUGCUUUUGUCAGGGAAGAAAUCCUAUGGUUUCAUACCUGGGGGUGAUGACGGUACCUGAAGAAUAAGCACCGGCUAACUACGUGCCAGCAGCCGCGGUAAUACGUAGGGUGCGAGCGUUAAUCGGAAUUACUGGGCGUAAAGCGUGCGCAGGCGGUUGUGCAAGUCAGGUGUGAAAUCCCCGGGCUUAACCUGGGAACUGCAUUUGUGACUGCACGUCUAGAGUUCGGUAGAGGGGGAUGGAAUUCCGCGUGUAGCAGUGAAAUGCGUAGAUAUGCGGAGGAACACCGAUGGCGAAGGCAAUCCCCUGGACCUGUACUGACGCUCAUGCACGAAAGCGUGGGGAGCAAACAGGAUUAGAUACCCUGGUAGUCCACGCCCUAAACGAUGUCAAC